GAAAUUGUGGUCUCUAGGAAGAGCGAGGUUGAGUUACAGCCCUGAGGAGGGUGGUUGCAGAUGAGGAAACUGAGGCACAGCGAGUUUAAAUACCUUUCUCAAAGUGAUGGGGCUUUGGUCUGAAGUCUUGCUGUAAAGGCCAUGUUCUUAACCAGUAGGCAUUGUCUGUGACAACUCUCCAUGUAUUCCAACAGGAUGGGGAUUUGGAUCAGAACAGGGGGCUGCUGGCUGCAUGUGAGAAAAUUCCUCACCUCUGACCAACUUCAGAAUUGUUCAUCAGUGUGGACACUGUCAUUAGAUUUAGGGUCACCCUAACACAGAUGACCUCAUCUCCAGAUCCUCAACUAUAUCUGAAAAGACUCUUUCCCAGGAGAUGACCAAGGCCCCAUAUGGACGGGGGCAAACAGCAGCCAUGUGAAUGGGGGUCUGGGGAGAAUGAGGACCCUAGAAGCACCAGGAAAAGAUCCAGGCCUGGCUUCAUCAGGAGCAGGAGGCCCUGAGAAUCAACAUGUGCUGCCCUGAAGACUAACCAGGAGGAUUUGGGAGGGGCCGCUAGAAGGAAGGAGAUGACCAGCCUCCCAGGAUCCUUGGUGCCGGAGUCCAUCUUGGCUGAGAGCUCAUGGAGUUCCUGGGCCAGGGAUCAGAUUUGAGCCGCAUUUGUGACCUAUGCCACAGCUGCAGCAACGCUGGAUUCUUAACCCACUGGGCCAGGCCGGGGAUUCAACUUGUGUCCCAGUCCUGCAGAGAUGCUGCUGAUCCCGUUGUGCCAUAGCGGGGACUCCACUCUCCUUUCUUUUUUUCUGCCCUGAGUGCAGGAGUCUGGUUGAUGGCCUCAGUUAUCUGGGGGCUGGAGGCUGAUCACCUCUGGUAGGCAGAGAACUGGAAUUCUACAUUCUGGUUUUGAUAGGGUUGGAGUACAAUAGUUACACAGGUAGUUGUAGAAGUCCCAGUAAGAGACCAUAAGUAAAGAGGGAAACCUAGGGGACUUUGGGAGAUCACUGUAAUUUAAUAACUGCUCAAGAGGGCCCUCAGAACAAGGCAGGCUUGCUAGACUAGUGGAGGCAAGAGAUAUGCCUUAGUCAUUGGAUGGGGGAUGGGGUGAGGCCUGCAUUCAAGUUCAGACCAAAGGCAGGAGUUUAAGGACCACCUUUCUGCUGAUUUCAAUAAGCACCAGGACAGUCCUAGUCUGACCUUAGAGGGUCAAAUACUCUCUUACCAGAUACCAAGAAGGAGCUACUAUUUCAAGAAAGAGGAAGAGGCGGGUUCCCCCCCAAUACACACACACUUGCGUCUUGGAUUAUGAGACUGCAGCCCACCUGAUCCUCAGGGCAGAGCCUCUUUGCCUAAUCUAUUUCUUGCUUUGUUUCUUACUGAAUUCCUUCUGCACUGAGGCACAGAGAACCUGGGCCUCAGUGAGUCCAGACACUGGGUGAGUGGCUCUAAUUUGAAAACUGUGGGUUCAGUCCCAAUCUGGGUUUAAGCUGGGUUUGAGUCCUGGCACCUGGGUUCACGUCCCAAGCUGGGUUUUGGCUGUACUCAAGUCAUAAGUGCUCUCAAUUUCAGUUUCUGGUUUGGCUGAGUUGCUGUCGCCCUUUCUGAAGCUCAGGGAAAAGUCCCAUAAUGCCUGGGUAUCUGCAGGUGGUGGGAGAUGUCUAUCAGGCCACCCCUUUUGCCCCUCAUCCCCUUCUUUUUUUUUUUUUUCUUUUGUCUUUUCUAGGGCCACUCCCACAGCAUAUGGAGGUUCCCAGGCUAGGGGUCUAGUUGGAGCUGAAGCUACCAGCCUACACCACAGCCACACCAGAUCCGAGCCGCGUCUGUGACCUACACCACAACUCACGGCAACGCCAGAUUCUUAACCCACUGAGCAAGGCCAGGGAUAGAACCUGCAACCUUAUGGUUCCUAGUCGGAUUCGUUAACCACUGAGCCAUGACGGGAACUCCCCGCAUCCCCUUCUCUUAAUCCAGUCUCCUUUCCUCCCUCUGAAGUCUUUUUUUUUUUUUUUUUUUUUUUUUUUUUUUUUUUUUUNNNNNNNNNNNNNNNNNNNNNNNNNNNNNNNNNNNNNNNNNNNNNNNNNNNNNNNNNNNNNNNNNNNNNNNNNNNNNNNNNNNNNNNNNNNNNNNNNNNNNNNNNNNNNNNNNNNNNNNNNNNNNNNGACCUACACCACAACUCACGGCAACACCGGAUUCUUAACCCACUGAGCAAGGCCAGGGAUAGAACCUGCAACCUUAUGGUUCCUAGUUGGAUUCGUUAACCACUGCGCCACGACGGGAACUCCCCUCUGAAAUCUUUGACGACCCAAGAUACUUCCAUUUACCAUUUGUUGGUACUGAAACCAAGCAGGGCCCUGUGGGGUUCCUGGGAACAAGACUUUCUGUGUCCCCAAUUUCUUGUUUUUAGGGAAAAACUCAGCCUCCAAGAUCGUCACUGAGUUCCAAAGGGCAGGUUCAAAUAGCUGCUAAUCAGAGAAGGGAAGGGAUGAGGGAGGAAUAACCAAGAAACAAGAGUGCAGCCUUGGGGCUGGAUCCUGGUUCCUCUUCAAGGAAUAUACAUAACAAUAUCUGAGUUCUUUUGCAGAGCUAAACCCCCAACAAAUGGAAAACUGGAGAGGAGGACCACCAGCACCAGUCCUGGGGCUGCCGAACACCAACUUUGAAGAAGAAUGCAAGCUUGCAUCUACCCUGAUCCUUACCUGUGGCCCUAUUUUCUACUGCCACACUGUGUAAAAUCCCUUCCUGAUCUCUCCCAAGGUGGGGCACAGUCUUUAGGGCAUUAGCCUGCUGUGGCCUCCUUUGCUUGGCAAAGCAAUAAAGCUAUUUUUUUUCUCUU
This 2827-nucleotide long non-coding RNA is filed under the name Sus scrofa (pig). RNAcentral's name for it is "lncRNA (ENSSSCG00040019220.1)". The record is from RNAcentral. Lineage: Eukaryota; Metazoa; Chordata; Mammalia; Artiodactyla; Suidae.